UGAUAUCACUGCCUGUAGUCUAGUGUUUCCUUUUGUUUCCUCUGUUUCCCUGCCCUUUUGUCUCUUGUGUGUUUUCCCCUGGUUUGUCUAGUUUGUCAGUGUGUUGGGAGGUGUGGCCUUCCUCCUCCCCCUCCUCCUGGGCAGGCACUGCCGGAGCAACUGACAGCAGUCAAGCAAUCAACCAAUCAUCACACACACCUGCAGUAUAUCUACCCCGGUCUUCCUGCCACUCAUCGCCAGAUCGUUCCGUCACCCACAGUGGUCUGUUCACCUGCCAGCUGUGGCUGCUUCCAACCUGCCUGCUCACUCCUGCACUCGGCUCCUCCUCAACCUGGAACCCUGUUGUAAAUAAUAAAUAUUUUUGUUCUUCCUUUAAAA
This is a long non-coding RNA of Sebastes umbrosus (honeycomb rockfish), 378 nucleotides long. RefSeq lists it as uncharacterized. The transcript has 2 exons. NCBI's taxonomy places the organism in Eukaryota, Metazoa, Chordata, Actinopteri, Perciformes, Sebastidae. The record is from RefSeq and is a predicted model, not a curated record.